ACGGAGGGUGCGAGCGUUGUUCGGAAUCACUGGGCGUAAAGCGCGUGUAGGCGGUCUGUUAAGUCUGAUGUGAAAGCCCGGGGCUCACCCCCGGAAGUGCAUUGGAAACUGACAGACUGGAGUCCCGGAGAGGAGGGUGGAAUUCCUGGUGUAGCGGUGAAAUGCGUAGAUAUCAGGAGGAACACCGGUGGCGAAGGCGGCCCUCUGGACGG
Molecule: ribosomal RNA, 212 nt
Filed under: uncultured prokaryote
Description: partial 16S ribosomal RNA
Rfam family: Bacterial small subunit ribosomal RNA
Source: RNAcentral